AACGAACGCUGGCGGCAUGCCUAACACAUGCAAGUCGAACGAGACCUUCGGGUCUAGUGGCGCACGGGUGCGUAACGCGUGGGAAUCUACCCUUGGGUUCGGAAUAACAGUUAGAAAUGACUGCUAAUACCGGAUGAUGACGUAAGUCCUAAGAUUUAUCGCCCAAGGAUGGGCCCGCGUAAGAUUAGCUUGUUGGUGGGGUAAUGGCCUACCAAGGAGACGACCUUUAGCUGGUCUGAGAGGAUGAUCAGCCACACUGGGACUGAUACACGGCCCAGACGCCUACGGGAGGCAGCAGUGGGGAAUAUUGGACAAUGGGCGAAAGCCUGAUCCAGCAAUGCCGCGUGAGUGAUGAAGGCCUUAGGGUUGUAAAGCUCUUUUACCAGGGAUGAUAAUGACAGUACCUGGAGAAUAAGCUCCGGCUAACUCCGUGCCAGCCGCCGCAGUAA
Molecule: ribosomal RNA, 449 nt
Filed under: uncultured bacterium
Lineage: Bacteria
Description: partial 16S ribosomal RNA
Rfam family: Bacterial small subunit ribosomal RNA
Source: RNAcentral